UGUUGCUGCUUCUGCAAUCUAUGAUCAACAAAGAAAGAUCCGAUCCGGACAACAAUUGGUAUUAGAGCUUUGGAGCUAGAUCUGGUGUAGAAAAGGUUUGAGACGCCUGAUUUGGAUAAGGAUCUAUCUUGUUCUUAUGUAAUCUACCUUGUUUUACUUAGAAUUAUAUAUAUUUAUGAGUAUUCCUUAUGUGAAAUUGAAAUCUAUGUGAAAUGGUGUCGAGUACCCUUAAGGCAG
This 237-nucleotide long non-coding RNA is filed under the name Elaeis guineensis (African oil palm). RNAcentral describes it as "long non-coding RNA (EGUI_LNC020345)". Lineage: Eukaryota; Viridiplantae; Streptophyta; Magnoliopsida; Arecales; Arecaceae. The record is from RNAcentral.